UACGGAGGGAGCUAGCGUUGUUCGGAAUUACUGGGCGUAAAGCGCGCGUAGGCGGCUUUGUAAGUUAGAGGUGAAAGCCCGGGGCUCAACCCCGGAACUGCCUUUAAAACUGCAUCGCUUGAAUCCGGGAGAGGUGAGUGGAAUCCCGAGUGUAGAGGUGAAAUUCGUAGAUAUUCGGAAGAACACCAGUGGCGAAGGCGGCUCACUGGACCGGUAUUGACGCUGAGGUGCGAAAGCGUGGGGAGCAAACAGG
Molecule: ribosomal RNA, 253 nt
Filed under: uncultured bacterium
Lineage: Bacteria
Description: partial 16S ribosomal RNA
Rfam family: Bacterial small subunit ribosomal RNA
Source: RNAcentral